CUCCUGGGGGCGGGGCUCUGAGGGGCGCAACCAGCGGGGCAGGCGCUUACGCAGAUCCAGCACGCCCUGGAGUCGUGGAGCCGUGGACCCUUGGGAGUCCCGCGUGAUGUGAUUGCUCUGUGGAGACCUACCCACACUCCCCGAAAAAUUAUUCAAGGAGAUUAAUCAUUGAAGACUACCUUGACAAAUGUGAUGUCUAAAAAGUCAACCAACCCACAAGAGUACAUGAUGCACCUAGCCUUCUGGUUUAGCCAGAAUCCCAACUUUACAGCCAAACAAAAACAGGCACCUCUUCCAUGGAAACCCAACCAGCUUUCAGAGGACAGAACUGCCCUUGAAAAUGCUAAAAUGGGGGAAAACAGCUUGAGAAUGCUGUGAGGCAAGACAGACUGACGUGAAAGAUAUUUUCAUUCCCACUCCCUUGGUGCCAACUCAGGGCAAAGUUGGGAAACCAGUGCACGAUGUGCUGUAAAGUAAUACUGAAUGGAGCAGGUGAGUGAAGGAUGGAGUGAGAAUGGAAAAGUGAGUCAGACAUGAAGUCACAACCCUGAAUUUAUCCGCAAGGUAAUUGUCAGUGGCAAUAAUGGGCAAAUUUCUUUCACUAGUUAGUGGCACAUUAACUUAUGCUGUAAAUAUUUGCAUUCUCCACAGAGCACAGCAUAAUGUUCUCAGUACAGGAGUGGAUGGGGAGAGGAAUUUAGUUCUUAAUUUCAUUCUGCUUCUUCAGUCACUGGUUUCUGUUGCGUGCCGAAGGAGAGAAAAUUACUCUACAUGAACAAAUAGCAAUUUAGGGUGCACAGGGGGGAAAAGGGUGUUCUGCUACCAUGGCUUUAUUUAGAAGCAUGCUAAGAGAAAUUACUGAGGGAGCAUAUACUUUGUUUCUAUAGCCAUUUUUCUGUAUUACUGUUUUCUAACAAAAAUGACCAUCUUUUUUUUUUUUCCGCAAAGUAGGUGAGGGUUUUAAAUUGAAAAGGACCUAUAUCAUAGGUCUUUGAAUGUUGAUCUUAUAAAUAAAUGGCCCUAAAACCACCUCAAGUCUUAGU
Molecule: long non-coding RNA, 1043 nt
Organism: Artibeus jamaicensis (Jamaican fruit-eating bat)
Lineage: Eukaryota; Metazoa; Chordata; Mammalia; Chiroptera; Phyllostomidae
Exons: 3
Source: RefSeq, a predicted model, not a curated record